This 425-nucleotide ribosomal RNA is filed under the name uncultured bacterium. RNAcentral describes it as "partial 16S ribosomal RNA". It matches the Rfam family "Bacterial small subunit ribosomal RNA", at positions 354 to 796 of the family's 1533-position model. The record is from RNAcentral.
GUGGGGAAUCUUGCGCAAUGGGCGAAAGCCUGACGCAGCCAUGCCGCGUGAAUGAUGAAGGUCUUAGGAUUGUAAAAUUCUUUCACCGGGGACGAUAAUGACGGCACCCGGAGAAGAAGCUCCGGCUAACUUCGUGCCAGCAGCCGCGGUAAUACGAAGGGGGCUAGCGUUGCUCGGAAUUACUGGGCGUAAAGGGCGCGUAGGCGGACAGCUUAGUCAGAGGUGAAAGCCCAGGGCUCAACCUUGGAAUUGCCUUUGAUACUGGCUGUCUUGAGUUUGGGAGAGGUGAGUGGAACUCCGAGUGUAGAGGUGAAAUUCGUAGAUAUUCGGAAGAACACCAGUGGCGAAGGCGACUCACUGGCCCAAUACUGACGCUGAGGCGCGAAAGCGUGGGGAGCAAACAGGAUUAGAAACCCUAGUAGUCC